GCGUGGCGAGCGUCUUCUAUGCAGUCGAACGAUGCCGCCUAGCUUGCUGGGUGGAUUAGUGGCGAACGGGUGAGUAACACGUGAGUAACCUGCCCCUGACUCUGGGAUAAGCCUGAGAAAUUGGGUCUAAUACCGGAUAUGAACAUUUAUCGCAUGGUGGGUGUUGGAAAGAUUUUUUGGUUGGGGAUGGGCUCGCGGCCUAUCAGCUUGUUGGUGAGGUAGUGGCUCACCAAGGCGACGACGGGUAGCCGGCCUGAGAGGGUGACCGGCCACACUGGGACUGAGACACGGCCCAGACUCCUACGGGAGGCAGCAGUGGGGAAUAUUGCACAAUGGGCGAAAGCCUGAUGCAGCGACGCCGCGUGAGGGAUGACGGCCUUCGGGUUGUAAACCUCUUUCAGUAAGGAAGAAGCGAAAGUGACGGUACUUGCAGAAGAAGCGCCGGCUAACUACGUGCCAGCAGCCGCGGUAAUACGUAGGGCGCGAGCGUUAUCCGGAAUUAUUGGGCGUAAAGAGCUCGUAGGCGGUUUGUCGCGUCUGCCGUGAAAGUCCGGGGCUUAACUCCGGAUCUGCGGUGGGUACGGGCAGGCUAGAGUGCAGUAGGGGAGACUGGAAUUCCUGGUGUAGCGGUGAAAUGCGCAGAUAUCAGGAGGAACACCGAUGGCGAAGGCAGGUCUCUGGGCUGUAACUGACGCUGAGGAGCGAAAGCAUGGGUAGCGAACAGGAUUAGAUACCCUGGUAGUCCAUGCCGUAAACGUUGGGCACUAGGUGUGGGGGACAUUCCACGUUUUCCGCGCCGU
Molecule: ribosomal RNA, 800 nt
Filed under: Micrococcus sp. JSM 2215092
Lineage: Bacteria; Bacillati; Actinomycetota; Actinomycetes; Micrococcales; Micrococcaceae
Description: bacterial SSU rRNA
Rfam family: Bacterial small subunit ribosomal RNA
Source: RNAcentral